RNAcentral lists this long non-coding RNA (640 nucleotides) under Drosophila guanche. The record is from RNAcentral. Lineage: Eukaryota; Metazoa; Arthropoda; Insecta; Diptera; Drosophilidae.
ACCAGACUGACUAACUUGUCUCUCACUCACUCUAAAAACUGUACAGUUCAAGACAGAAAUACAAUAUACAAAGAACAGAGAACAAACUCCAAAAAUGAAACGAGAGCCACUGAAAGACAUUACCAACGUGCAAACGGUUAAGAAAAUGACCCAACAGAACACCAAAAAUGGGCAACCAGCCCGCAGAUGCUUCGAGAUCUUUAGAGGAUCUAACUGAUGGGCGGACCAGAGAGUGAGUGUCAGAGAGGAGUCCGAAUAGUAUUAUCAUGUUCAUGGUUAUUUUGGAAAUCUGCAGAACUCACACAGAAUAGAGAAACACACAAAAGACACAAUCUUGAACCGCAAGAAAUAAACGACGAAUUUAAUUUUUAUUGGGGUGGGUUGUGUACGUGUCGAUCGGACACAUAUAUAUGUAUGUAUUAACUUGUUAGUAAUUUUCGAUUUGUUUCGCCUGUUCUUCCAUCCUUUACGAUUUCUUUUAGGUCUGUCCUUUUUUAACAUGCUUUCCUCCUCCCUUUUCCUCCUUUUCGUCAUCAGAUAACCGUUCCGGAGUGUUCCAGAUCCUGACUGUUACUGAUAGUGGCAUGUCUCCUUAAAGUACUCGUACGAUUUGAUAUGUUCAAGAGGGUGUUGAGUCUGA